This 402-nucleotide ribosomal RNA is filed under the name Triticum aestivum (bread wheat). Its description in RNAcentral is "partial small subunit ribosomal RNA". Lineage: Eukaryota; Viridiplantae; Streptophyta; Magnoliopsida; Poales; Poaceae. The record is from RNAcentral.
AUGGAUAAGAGUUCUCCCUCUGUGAAUGUUAGUCACAUGCGUGCUUUUCAUGCUCUUAUCAAAAAUUGAUGUCUCUUUGAUCUUGGUUACAGUGGACCAGCUUAUACUUGGACCAAUCGGCGCUACUCUUCUUGCCCUAUCUAUGAGCGCCUUGACCGAUGUUUAGUAAAUGCUGAAUGGUGUGCUUUAGAUCCUACUACAAAUGUUUACAUAUUAUCUAUCAUUUUGAGUGACCAUGCUCCUAUUUUAGUCUCUACUGAAGGUCAAUAUUGUAAAGCUAAGCAAAAUUUUAAAUUUGAAAAUUGGUGGCUUAUGGAAAAGGAUUUUCAUUCUUUUGCUAAGUCUGAUUGGAUUAGUACUGCUCAUAGGCCUUUCUAUGUCAGAGCUAAUCUUCUUGCAUGA